UGCUCAACAGCUAGCUCAUCCACUCAACACCAACAAACCACUAUUAAUAACCCCAAAUAACACUUUAACCCAACAAACAAACCAUUUUUCCCCCAAAGUACGGGAGACGGAAAAGGAUUCUUUNNNNGAAAGCAAUAGAAAAAGUACCGCAAGGGAAAGCUGAAAGAGACAAUGAAACAGCUCAGUAAAGCAUAAAAAAGCAGAGAUUCCCCCUCGUACCUUUUGCAUCAUGAUUUAGCAAGAAAAAAUUAAGCAAAAAGCAUUACAGUUUAACUCCCCGAAACUAGGUGAGCUACUCCAAGACAGCCUAAUUAUAGGGCAACCCCGUCUCUGUGGCAAAAGAGUGGGAAGAACUUCGAGUAGAGGUGACAGACCUACCGAACCUAGUUAUAGCUGGUUGCCUGAGAACUGAAUAGAAGUUCAGCCCUUUAAAUUCUUCCUCCACCUGCCACCCAUAGUUAAUUCUAGGUGCUAAAGAAAUCAAAGNGAGUUAGUCAAAAGGGGUACAGCCCUUUUGACCAAAGACACAACUUUCCCGGCAGGAUACAGAUCAUAUUCUUAAAGGUCCGUGCCCUAGUGGGCUUAAAAGCAGCCACCUAAACAGAAAGCGUUAAAGCUCGAGCAUACCACCCCUCCCCCCAAUCCUGACAACAACAUCUAAACCCGCCACCCCUAUCAGGCCACUCCACCCCCAACAUGGAAGCGAUCAUGCUAAUAUGAGUAUUAAGAAAGCCCCGCCUUUCUCCUAGCACACACGUAAAUCGGAACGAACCCCCACCGAAAAUUAACGACCCCAAAAUCAAGAGGGGACUGGAUUAAAAANCAAACAACCAGAAAACCAUCCAACCACCAACCGUUAACCCCACACCGGUGUGCACCAAAGGAAAGACAAAAAGAAAAGGAAGGAACUCGGCAAACACAAGCCUCGCCUGUUUACCAAAAACAUCGCCUCUUGCAACACUAACUUAUAAGAGGUCCCGCCUGCCCUGUGACUAUAAGUUUAACGGCCGCGGUAUUUUGACCGUGCAAAGGUAGCGCAAUCACUUGUCUUUUAAAUGUAGACCUGUAUGAAUGGCAUCACGAGGGCUUAACUGUCUCCCUUUUCCUGUCAAUGAAAUUGAUCUCCCCGUGCAGAAGCGGGGAUACACCCAUAAGACGAGAAGACCCUAUGGAGCUUUAGGCUCCAGAAUAGAUUAUAUUUAACAUCCUAAAACAAAAGACAAAACUAAUUAACCCCUACUCUGCAUGCCUUUGGUUGGGGCGACCGCGGGGAAAUAAACAACCCCCAUGUGGACCAGGAGCACAUCCUCCCAAAACCCAGAACCACAUUUCCAAGUAACAGAACUUCUGACCAACUUAUGACCCGGCAUUCAGCCGAUCAACGAACCCAGUUACCCUAGGGAUAACAGCGCAAUCCUCUUCUAGAGCCCAUAUCGACAAGAGGGUUUACGACCUCGAUGUUGGAUCAGGACAUCCUAUUGGUGCAGCCGCUAUUAAGGGUUCGUUUGUUCAACGAUUAAAGUCCUACGUGAUCUGAGUUCAGACCGGAGUAAUCCAGGUCAGUUUCUAUCUAUGCUACGAUCUUUCCUAGUACGAAAGGACCGAGAAGAAGAGGCCCCUGUUCUUAAUACACCUCCCCCCCACCUAAUGAAGUCAACUAAAAUAGAUAAAAAGGGCGUGCCCCACUAAGCUUAAGAAAACAGCU
This 1705-nucleotide ribosomal RNA is filed under the name Geophagus steindachneri (redhump eartheater). RNAcentral describes it as "16S ribosomal RNA". The stretch from base 100 to 1591 matches the Rfam family "Bacterial large subunit ribosomal RNA". Lineage: Eukaryota; Metazoa; Chordata; Actinopteri; Cichliformes; Cichlidae. The record is from RNAcentral.